This is a long non-coding RNA of Oreochromis niloticus (Nile tilapia), 488 nucleotides long. RefSeq lists it as uncharacterized. The transcript has 3 exons. Lineage: Eukaryota; Metazoa; Chordata; Actinopteri; Cichliformes; Cichlidae. The record is from RefSeq and is a predicted model, not a curated record.
UGAUGCCGCCCCGGGCAACCGCCCGUGUCGCCCGUAUCUAAAACCGCUACUGAUGAGAUCCAAAUAUAUGCCAAUGUCAACACAUGUUCAUGUUGAUGAGGUUUACUGAACAAAUUUGAAUCAUCACAACAACCAAAAUGUUAGCAACACAUUAUAAAGUUUAUUAUUAUCACUAUGGUAACCAUGUUUAUGUUUGUUACCUGCUAACUCAAACACAUUCUGUAGGUGUCACAUUUUGAGGACUGUAAGUUCACACACUUUCAGACUUUUGCAAACCGGAGUUGGAGAUUGCAGAGAGAAGGCGAAGUGAUAAUAAAGGAGGAUACUGUGGGUGUUGGAGAGGACCCACUGAAAAAUGUGAGUGCACGAAAGGAUCUCACAGAUGAACAUGUGGCCCUGACACUCCAGCCACCUCUUCUGCACCAGUCUCACCUCCAGCUGAGGCUCAGACGAACAAAUCAAAGAAGGCUUCCUGGUGGCGCAGAUGG